Molecule: ribosomal RNA, 466 nt
Filed under: uncultured bacterium
Lineage: Bacteria
Description: partial 16S ribosomal RNA
Rfam family: Bacterial small subunit ribosomal RNA
Source: RNAcentral
GACGAACGCUGGCGGCGUGCUUAACACAUGCAAGUCGAACGGAAAGGCCCUGCUUUUGUGGGGUGCUCGAGUGGCGAACGGGUGAGUAACACGUGAGUAACCUGCCCUUGACUUUGGGAUAACUUCAGGAAACUGGGGCUAAUACCGGAUAGGAGCUCCUGCUGCAUGGUGGGGGUUGGAAAGUUUCGGCGGUUGGGGAUGGACUCGCGGCUUAUCAGCUUGUUGGUGGGGUAGUGGCUUACCAAGGCUUUGACGGGUAGCCGGCCUGAGAGGGUGACCGGCCACAUUGGGACUGAGAUCCGGCCAAGGCGCCUACGGGGGGAAGCGGGGGGGAAUAUUGCACAAUGGCCGGAGGACUGAUGCAGCAACGCGGCGUGGGGAAUGACGGCCUUCGGGUUGAAAACCGCUUUCGCCUGCGACGAAGCGUGAGGGAGGGUAAUGGGAAAAGAACCACGGUCUAACCACG